Molecule: unclassified non-coding RNA, 336 nt
Filed under: soil metagenome
Description: partial contains 5.8S ribosomal RNA, internal transcribed spacer 2, and large subunit ribosomal RNA
Rfam family: 5.8S ribosomal RNA (bases 1-120)
Source: RNAcentral
GAUGAAGAACGUAGCGAAAUGCGAUAAGUAGUGUGAAUUGCAGAAUUCAGUGAAUCAUCGAAUCUUUGAACGCACAUUGCGCCCCUUGGUAUUCCAUGGGGCAUGCCUGUUCGAGCGUCAUUUGUACCUUCAAGCUUUGCUUGGUGUUGGGUGUUUGUCUCGCCUUUGCGUGUAGACUCGCCUUAAAAUAAUUGGCAGCCGGCGUAUUGAUUUCGGAGCGCAGUACAUCUCGCGCUUUGCACUCAUAACGACAGCGUCCAAAAGUACAUUUUACACUCUUGACCUCGGAUCAGGUAGGGAUACCCGCUGAACUUAAGCAUAUCAGUAAGCGGAGGA